Molecule: ribosomal RNA, 945 nt
Filed under: Triticum aestivum (bread wheat)
Lineage: Eukaryota; Viridiplantae; Streptophyta; Magnoliopsida; Poales; Poaceae
Description: partial small subunit ribosomal RNA
Source: RNAcentral
AUGGUUAACACAAAAUUUAUGUUCUGUUGCUGGAAUGUACAGGGUCUUGGCCAAACACAGAAAUGUUCGGACGUUCUCGCAGAACUAAUUUUCGUCAAAUGACAUGCAUGUUUCCUUCAGGAAACAAAACUAAACUCUCCCUCAAAAAAUCGAUCCUUCAUCCCUGCUCAUCUUGACAUAUCUCAUCACAAAGAUGUGGAUGGCACAUCAGGGGGGAUGAUGGCCUCCUGCUCCUCUUCACUGUUCUCUGCGGUCACAUACACCCAAUCCCGUUUCUCUCAAACAAUUUCCUUCUCAUCAUUAGCUUCACCACUCCCACUAACAAUCACCAAUGUUUACGCCCCAACAGACCACUUUCUUAAGUUGGAUUUCCUCUCGGAACUUGAGGCGGCGGCCCCCGGCCAAAAGAUGCCCUGGAUGAUCUACGGAGACUUCAAUCUAAUGAGAUAUGCCUCGGACAAAAACAAUGACUCCUUCUGACAAAGUGAGGCAGAUCUUUUCAACCAAUGGAUUCAUAACCUGGCCCUCAUUGAGCUACCUCUCCUUGAUAGGAGAUACACCUGGUCCAAUAAACGGGAUAAGCCGACCUUAGAACUCCUUGACCGUGUCUUUGUAAAUGACUCUUGGGAUCGGACCUUUCCCGAGUCCUCAAUCUCGAGCCUCACACGCUAUGUCUCCGUCCAUGUGCCCCUAAUCAUCUCGAUUAGCACCUGCUUCCCCCGCACCGCCUUCUUUAGAUUUGAACUUGGCUGGGCCGAAAACCUGGCUUGUAGGCCGGUUAUUGCCUCCUCCUGGGCAUCGGCUCCACGCCGUCCUUCGGCACCCCUCACGAUCGCACGGGCCCUAAAAAAAUGUCGCCUUGCCCUUCGAGUAUGGCGUAAAAGUGUAAUCCCUCUGAACACCCGCGAGACAAACUGCAGGUUAACGAUAAAUCUCCUCGAUUAG